GGGUUGUGAGGUUAAGCGACUAAGCGUACACGGUGGAUGCCCUGGCAGUCAGAGGCGAUGAAGGACGUGCUAAUCUGCGAUAAGCGUCGGUAAGGUGAUAUGAACCGUUAUAACCGGCGAUUUCCGAAUGGGGAAACCCAGUGUGUUUCGACACACUAUCAUUAACUGAAUCCAUAGGUUAAUGAGGCGAACCGGGGGAACUGAAACAUCUAAGUACCCCGAGGAAAAGAAAUCAACCGAGAUUCCCCCAGUAGCGGCGAGCGAACGGGGAGCAGCCCAGAGCCUGAAUCAGUGUGUGUGUUAGUGGAAGCGUCUGGAAAGGCGCGCGAUACAGGGUGACAGCCCCGUACACAAAAAUGCACAUGCUGUGAGCUCGAUGAGUAGGGCGGGACACGUGGUAUCCUGUCUGAAUAUGGGGGGACCAUCCUCCAAGGCUAAAUACUCCUGACUGACCGAUAGUGAACCAGUACCGUGAGGGAAAGGCGAAAAGAACCCCGGCGAGGGGAGUGAAAAAGAACCUGAAACCGUGUACGUACAAGCAGUGGGAGCACGCUUAGGCGUGUGACUGCGUACCUUUUGUAUAAUGGGUCAGCGACUUAUAUUCUGUAGCAAGGUUAACCGAAUAGGGGAGCCGAAGGGAAACCGAGUCUUAACUGGGCGUUAAGUUGCAGGGUAUAGACCCGAAACCCGGUGAUCUAGCCAUGGGCAGGUUGAAGGUUGGGUAACACUAACUGGAGGACCGAACCGACUAAUGUUGAAAAAUUAGCGGAUGACUUGUGGCUGGGGGUGAAAGGCCAAUCAAACCGGGAGAUAGCUGGUUCUCCCCGAAAGCUAUUUAGGUAGCGCCUCGUGAAUUCAUCUCCGGGGGUAGAGCACUGUUUCGGCAAGGGGGUCAUCCCGACUUACCAACCCGAUGCAAACUGCGAAUACCGGAGAAUGUUAUCACGGGAGACACACGGCGGGUGCUAACGUCCGUCGUGAAGAGGGAAACAACCCAGACCGCCAGCUAAGGUCCCAAAGUCAUGGUUAAGUGGGAAACGAUGUGGGAAGGCCCAGACAGCCAGGAUGUUGGCUUAGAAGCAGCCAUCAUUUAAAGAAAGCGUAAUAGCUCACUGGUCGAGUCGGCCUGCGCGGAAGAUGUAACGGGGCUAAACCAUGCACCGAAGCUGCGGCAGCGACGCUUAUGCGUUGUUGGGUAGGGGAGCGUUCUGUAAGCCUGUGAAGGUGUACUGUGAGGUAUGCUGGAGGUAUCAGAAGUGCGAAUGCUGACAUAAGUAACGAUAAAGCGGGUGAAAAGCCCGCUCGCCGGAAGACCAAGGGUUCCUGUCCAACGUUAAUCGGGGCAGGGUGAGUCGACCCCUAAGGCGAGGCCGAAAGGCGUAGUCGAUGGGAAACAGGUUAAUAUUCCUGUACUUGGUGUUACUGCGAAGGGGGGACGGAGAAGGCUAUGUUGGCCGGGCGACGGUUGUCCCGGUUUAAGCGUGUAGGCUGGUUUUCCAGGCAAAUCCGGAAAAUCAAGGCUGAGGCGUGAUGACGAGGCACUACGGUGCUGAAGCAACAAAUGCCCUGCUUCCAGGAAAAGCCUCUAAGCAUCAGGUAACAUCAAAUCGUACCCCAAACCGACACAGGUGGUCAGGUAGAGAAUACCAAGGCGCUUGAGAGAACUCGGGUGAAGGAACUAGGCAAAAUGGUGCCGUAACUUCGGGAGAAGGCACGCUGAUAUGUAGGUGAAGUCCCUCGCGGAUGGAGCUGAAAUCAGUCGAAGAUACCAGCUGGCUGCAACUGUUUAUUAAAAACACAGCACUGUGCAAACACGAAAGUGGACGUAUACGGUGUGACGCCUGCCCGGUGCCGGAAGGUUAAUUGAUGGGGUCAGCGCAAGCGAAGCUCUUGAUCGAAGCCCCGGUAAACGGCGGCCGUAACUAUAACGGUCCUAAGGUAGCGAAAUUCCUUGUCGGGUAAGUUCCGACCUGCACGAAUGGCGUAAUGAUGGCCAGGCUGUCUCCACCCGAGACUCAGUGAAAUUGAACUCGCUGUGAAGAUGCAGUGUACCCGCGGCAAGACGGAAAGACCCCGUGAACCUUUACUAUAGCUUGACACUGAACAUUGAGCCUUGAUGUGUAGGAUAGGUGGGAGGCUUUGAAGUGUGGACGCCAGUCUGCAUGGAGCCGACCUUGAAAUACCACCCUUUAAUGUUUGAUGUUCUAACGUGGACCCGUGAUCCGGGUUGCGGACAGUGUCUGGUGGGUAGUUUGACUGGGGCGGUCUCCUCCUAAAGAGUAACGGAGGAGCACGAAGGUUGGCUAAUCCUGGUCGGACAUCAGGAGGUUAGUGCAAUGGCAUAAGCCAGCUUGACUGCGAGCGUGACGGCGCGAGCAGGUGCGAAAGCAGGUCAUAGUGAUCCGGUGGUUCUGAAUGGAAGGGCCAUCGCUCAACGGAUAAAAGGUACUCCGGGGAUAACAGGCUGAUACCGCCCAAGAGUUCAUAUCGACGGCGGUGUUUGGCACCUCGAUGUCGGCUCAUCACAUCCUGGGGCUGAAGUAGGUCCCAAGGGUAUGGCUGUUCGCCAUUUAAAGUGGUACGCGAGCUGGGUUUAGAACGUCGUGAGACAGUUCGGUCCCUAUCUGCCGUGGGCGCUGGAGAACUGAGGGGGGCUGCUCCUAGUACGAGAGGACCGGAGUGGACGCAUCACUGGUGUUCGGGUUGUCAUGCCAAUGGCACUGCCCGGUAGCUAAAUGCGGAAGAGAUAAGUGCUGAAAGCAUCUAAGCACGAAACUUGCCCCGAGAUGAGUUCUCCCUGACUCCUUGAGAGUCCUGAAGGAACGUUGAAGACGACGACGUUGAUAGGCCGGGUGUGUAAGCGCAGCGAUGCGUUGAGCUAACCGGUACUAAUGAACCGUGAGGCUUAACCUUACAACGCCGAAGGUGUUU
This 2931-nucleotide ribosomal RNA is filed under the name Escherichia coli. Its description in RNAcentral is "23S ribosomal RNA". It matches the Rfam family "Bacterial large subunit ribosomal RNA". The record is from RNAcentral. Lineage: Bacteria; Pseudomonadati; Pseudomonadota; Gammaproteobacteria; Enterobacterales; Enterobacteriaceae.